Molecule: ribosomal RNA, 495 nt
Filed under: uncultured bacterium
Lineage: Bacteria
Description: partial 16S ribosomal RNA
Rfam family: Bacterial small subunit ribosomal RNA
Source: RNAcentral
GACGAACGCUGGCGGCGUGCCUAAUACAUGCAAGUAGAACGCUGAAGGAGGAGCUUGCUCUUCUGGAUGAGUUGCGAACGGGUGAGUAACGCGUAGGUAACCUGCCUGGUAGCGGGGGAUAACUAUUGGAAACGAUAGCUAAUACCGCAUAACAGUAGAUGUUGCAUGACAUUUGCUUAAAAGGUGCAAUUGCACCACUACCAGAUGGACCUGCGUUGUAUUAGCUAGUUGGUGGGGUAACGGCUCACCAAGGCGACGAUACAUAGCCGACCUGAGAGGGUGAUCGGCCACACUGGGACUGAGACACGGCCCAGACUCCUACGGGAGGCAGCAGUAGGGAAUCUUCGGCAAUGGACGGAAGUCUGACCGAGCAACGCCGCGUGAGUGAAGAAGGUUUUCGGAUCGUAAAGCUCUGUUGUAAGAGAAGAACGAGUGUGAGAGUGGAAAGUUCACACUGUGGCGGUAUCUUACCAGAAAGGGACGGCUAACUACGUG